AUACGGAGGAUCCGAGCGUUAUCCGGAUUUAUUGGGUUUAAAGGGUGCGCAGGCGGGAGAUUAAGUCGGCGGGGAAAUUUUGCAGCUUAACUGUAAAAGUGCCUUCGAAACUGGGUUCCUUGAGUGUAGAUGGAGGCGGCGGAAUUUGGGGUGUAACGGUGAAAUGCAUAGAUAUCACGAGGAACUCCGAUUGCGCAGGCAGCGUACUAAACUACUACUGACGCUCAGGCACGAAGGCGUGAGGAUCAAACAGGAUUAGAUACCCUGGUAGUCCACGCAGUAAACGAUGAGUACUAGCUGUUUGCGAUACAAUGUAAGCGGCUGAGCGAAAGCGUUAAGUAAUCCCCCUGGGGAGUACGUUCGCAAGAAUGAAACUCAAAUGAAUGGGCGG
RNAcentral lists this ribosomal RNA (391 nucleotides) under uncultured bacterium. Its description in RNAcentral is "partial 16S ribosomal RNA". It matches the Rfam family "Bacterial small subunit ribosomal RNA", at positions 523 to 916 of the family's 1533-position model. The record is from RNAcentral.